UGAACACCUCAAGAGAUACAACG
This 23-nucleotide microRNA is filed under the name Ascaris suum (pig roundworm). RNAcentral's name for it is "asu-miR-5355-5p". The record is from miRBase by way of RNAcentral. Lineage: Eukaryota; Metazoa; Nematoda; Chromadorea; Rhabditida; Ascarididae.